RNAcentral lists this transfer RNA (85 nucleotides) under Felis catus (domestic cat). It matches the Rfam family "tRNA". From Rfam's summary of the family: Transfer RNA (tRNA) molecules are approximately 80 nucleotides in length. Their secondary structure includes four short double-helical elements and three loops (D, anti-codon, and T loops). Further hydrogen bonds mediate the characteristic L-shaped molecular structure. tRNAs have two regions of fundamental functional importance: the anti-codon, which is responsible for specific mRNA codon recognition, and the 3' end, to which the tRNAs corresponding amino acid is attached (by aminoacyl-tRNA synthetases). tRNAs cope with the degeneracy of the genetic code in two manners: having more than one tRNA (with a specific anti-codon) for a particular amino acid; and 'wobble' base-pairing, i.e. permitting non-standard base-pairing at the 3rd anti-codon position. Lineage: Eukaryota; Metazoa; Chordata; Mammalia; Carnivora; Felidae. The record is from Rfam by way of RNAcentral.
GUCUGGGUGGCUCAGUCGGUUAAGCAUCUGACUUCGGCUCAGGUCAUGAUCUUGCAGUUCGUGGGUUCGAGCCCCUCAUUGGACU